GAGUAGUAAUAGAUAUAGUCUUGAAACUUAAAGAAUUUGGCGGUAUUUUAAUCUAUUCAGAGGAACCUGUUCUAUAAUCGAUAAUCCACGUUGGACUUUACUUAAAUUUGUUUAUCAAUAUGUAUACCGCCGUUAUAGAUUAUCUUAUUAGAGAAAUAAUUUUCUUAUUUUUAUAAAAAUAUAUCAGGUCAAGGUGCAGUUUAUAUUUAAGGAAGAAAUGGGUUACAAUAAAAUGAUUUAUAUGAAUAAAAAAUUGAAAUAUUUUUUUGAAGGUGGAUUUGAUAGUAAAAUUAUGUAGAUAAUUAAUUUGAUUAUAGCUCUAAAAUAUGU
RNAcentral lists this ribosomal RNA (330 nucleotides) under Chorisops tunisiae. RNAcentral's name for it is "partial 12S ribosomal RNA". The record is from RNAcentral. Lineage: Eukaryota; Metazoa; Arthropoda; Insecta; Diptera; Stratiomyidae.